CUCUCUGUUUUUGCUACUGAGACCAUGGGACAAGCAUGGGAUAGAGCCUCAUUUGCUAGGAAUCAGAGCACAUCACCAAAAGGAUGGAGGGCAUAGGCUAUGUGCGUGUUCUCUUUUUGUGUAUAUUCCAAGGGGUAGCCCCUGAUACAAAUUUUUGCCACCUCUUGGAGUAGGGGAAGUUUCAUCCUAGUUACUGGUAUGGCGGACCUGCCAGAGAUCUCCCAUAGUGGAACUUGGAAGGAUAAAUCCUUUAAGGGCAUUUGAAUUGCUUGGGCCCAGAGUGUGGAGUGGUUGAAUAUAUUGAAGUUUCCUCUUGUUUUUCCUUUGUUCUGUGUUUCUGUUUUUACGUUGCAGAGAUUUGUGUUAAACAAGAAUUCCGUAUUAUGUGAUCCUAGAAGUCUGCUUUCAUCAGACCUGUCCUACUUCUGUUCCUCCAAACUACUGUGAUCGCUUCUAUUUUUCAGCUAAGUUAGACCCACCUCUUUGGUGGACCUGACUUCUUGUGCAGUGUGUUCCUCCGAUCUCUUCCUUCCUUCCUUCCUUCCUUCCUUCCUUCCUUCCUUCCUUUCUUUCUUUCUUUCUUUCUUUCUUUCUUUCUUUCUUUCUUUCUUUCUUUCUUUCUUUCUUUCUUUCUUUCUUUCUUUCUUUCUUUCUUUCUUUCUUUCUUUCUUUCUUUCUUUCUUUCUUUCUUUCUUUCUUUCUUUCUUUCUUUCUUUCUUUCUUUCUUUCUUUCUCUCUCUCUCUCUCUCUCUCUCUCUCUCUCUCUCUCUCUCUCUCUCUCUCUUUCUUUCUUUCUUUCUUUCUUUCUUUCUUUCUUCCUUCCUUCCUUACUUUCUUCCUUUGUUCCUUUCUUCCUUUCUUCUUCCUAAUUCACAUAACUGUUUCCCUCCCCUUUUCUAUAGCUACAAAAUUUCUCCCAUUCUUAAGUGAGGGGGUAUGACUGUAUACCUUAUCCUUGUUCCAUCUGGAGACCAUUUUUUUCUAUAGCUGUCAUCUCUCUUGAGCCUUGGAGAUCUAAUUUAAGAUUUUCAAAAUAUCCAAAGAAUAGAGUUGUCCUUAGACAAUGAGUCUGCCCUAUUUCUUUGUCUAUAGAGUAUAUUAUUGAAGCUCAAGAAGCAGGAAAGUCAGGACCAAUGGACUCCUGAAAUAAUCAGCUAUUUUUUCCUACAAAUAUAUUUGUAGUGACUUAUUUCAUUUCUCUCCUACUUUUUACUGUUUUGUUGAAUUCUUGAGCAACUUUUUGUUGUUAUCAUUGAUGUAAGACAGUGGGGGGAGAAGAUGGACCUUGGACUGCUUCUUAUUUUGUCAUCUUCCCAGGAUAGUUAAUGUUUGAAGAAUUCACAAAAUACAGAGAAAACAAUGCAAAAAUGUCAUUUACAUUCUGAUAUGUAGAGGUCCCAGAAGAUCUUAGACUGAUUCAACUAAAGAUACCUUCAAUAAAAUGACUUUUACUUUGUGCUGGACA
RNAcentral lists this long non-coding RNA (1465 nucleotides) under Monodelphis domestica (gray short-tailed opossum). Its description in RNAcentral is "lncRNA (ENSMODG00000040027.1)". Lineage: Eukaryota; Metazoa; Chordata; Mammalia; Didelphimorphia; Didelphidae. The record is from RNAcentral.